Molecule: ribosomal RNA, 250 nt
Filed under: uncultured bacterium
Lineage: Bacteria
Description: partial 16S ribosomal RNA
Rfam family: Bacterial small subunit ribosomal RNA
Source: RNAcentral
GGAUUAGUGGCGAACGGGUGAGGAACACGUGAGAAACCUGCCUUUCAUUCUGGGAUAACACCGGGAAACCGGCGCUAAUACCGAAUAUUGAAACAUAAGCGGCAUCGCCGAGCUGGGAAAAAAUUUUGAUGAAAGAUGGUCUCGCGGCCUAUCAGCUAGUUGGUGAGGUAAAGGCUCACCAAGGCGACGACGGGUAGCCGGCCUGAGAGGGCGACCGGCCACACUGGGACUGAGACACGGCCCAGACUCC